This 312-nucleotide ribosomal RNA is filed under the name Triticum aestivum (bread wheat). RNAcentral's name for it is "partial small subunit ribosomal RNA". Lineage: Eukaryota; Viridiplantae; Streptophyta; Magnoliopsida; Poales; Poaceae. The record is from RNAcentral.
AUGUCCGGGCGCGGCAAGGGAGGCAAGGGGCUCGGCAAGGGCGGCGCCAAGCGCCACCGGAAGGUGCUGCGCGACAACAUCCAGGGCAUCACCAAGCCGGCCAUCAGGCGCCUGGCUCGCCGGGGCGGCGUGAAGCGCAUCUCGGGGCUCAUCUACGAGGAGACCCGCGGCGUGCUCAAGAUCUUCCUCGAGAACGUCAUCCGCGACGCCGUCACCUACACCGAGCACGCCCGCCGCAAGACCGUCACCGCCAUGGACGUCGUCUACGCCCUCAAGCGCCAGGGCCGCACCCUCUACGGCUUCGGCGGCUAG